Molecule: unclassified non-coding RNA, 389 nt
Filed under: uncultured fungus
Lineage: Eukaryota; Fungi
Description: partial contains small subunit ribosomal RNA, internal transcribed spacer 1, and 5.8S ribosomal RNA
Rfam family: Eukaryotic small subunit ribosomal RNA (bases 1-73)
Source: RNAcentral
UCAAACUUGGUCAUUUAGAGGAAGUAAAAGUCGUAACAAGGUUUCCGUAGGUGAACCUGCGGAAGGAUCAUUAUUGAAGUCGUUGAGAGGUUUGUUGCUGGCCCCCCGGGGCAUACUGUGCACGACCUCUCUCACUUUAUCAACCACCUGUGCACUCUUUGUAGUCUUUUCAGAUGAUUUCUUCAGGAUCCUUUGGAUUUUGUUGUAGGGACUUUUGCUGUGUGCAUAAUUCUUGCGUGCAGCCUCAGUUCAAUAUCUGACAAAGGCUAUCUUUUUACAUAUAACCUAUUGAUGUCUAAGAAUGUAUACUUAUGGUCUUUUGGACCUUUAAAACUUAUACAACUUUCAACAACGGAUCUCUUGGCUCUCGCAUCGAUGAAGAACGCAGC